UGUAUAUAAGAAUUUAGUUCAAACUUUGACCUGUGGAGGGCAGUAAUACGCCCAGUAGCGUCUACACUGCCGGAAAGAUAGAAGAAGAAGAAGAAGAAGAAGUCUGAAGCGCAGUUCAUUUCGUAGACCGAACAGAGUGGAGCUCAUUUGCAAAGCAGCAGUUUAGAUUGAAUUAUUAUUCCUUUUUGUCUCACUUCUCCUACCGCAGUUAAGAGAGCUCGGAUGAAUGAUAAGUCCAGGAGUGAUAAUAUUGAGGAAAGCUAGUUUAUAGUUGAUUCUGAAGAACAAAUGAGAUCUUGUUGACGACUAAUUCAGGGUUAUUUACAGUUACAGUGGACUUUGUGAACAGGGAUUCUAGGGAGAGAAGGUGAAUUGGAAGAGGCAAUGGUUUGAAUGUUCCUCACUAUGUUCACUGUAAUGGCUGUGGUGUUGUAUAACUUAUUCUGUCUUGUAAUAUUGUAUGUGGAUGUAACAAAAUUGCACAAUCCUGUUUGUUUCUAUACAUAAACAAAAUACAUG
Molecule: long non-coding RNA, 519 nt
Organism: Sinocyclocheilus grahami
Lineage: Eukaryota; Metazoa; Chordata; Actinopteri; Cypriniformes; Cyprinidae
Exons: 3
Source: RefSeq, a predicted model, not a curated record